UUCGUAGGUGGCCAACUAAGUCAGACGUGAAAUCCCUCAGCUUAACUGGGGAACUGCGUCUGAUACUGGUUGGCUUGAGUGCAGGAGAGGAACGCGGAAUUCCAGGUGUAGCGGUGAAAUGCGUAGAUAUCUGGAGGAACACCGGUGGCGAAGGCGGCGUUCUGGACUGCAACUGACACUGAUGAACGAAAGCCAGGGGAGACAAACG
This 208-nucleotide ribosomal RNA is filed under the name uncultured bacterium. Its description in RNAcentral is "partial 16S ribosomal RNA". It matches the Rfam family "Bacterial small subunit ribosomal RNA", at positions 568 to 775 of the family's 1533-position model. The record is from RNAcentral.